GACGAACGCUGGCGGCAUGCCUAACACAUGCAAGUCGAGCGAGUUGAUCCCUUCGGGGUGAAGCUAGCGGCGGACGGGUGAGUAACACGUGGGCAACCUGCCUCAUAGAGGGGAAUAGCCUUCCGAAAGGAAGAUUAAUACCGCAUAAGAUUGUAGCUUCGCAUGAAGCAGCAAUUAAAGGAGUAAUCCGCUAUGAGAUGGGCCCGCGGCGCAUUAGCUAGUUGGUGAGGUAACGGCUCACCAAGGCGACGAUGCGUAGCCGACCUGAGAGGGUGAUCGGCCACAGUGGGACUGACACACGGCCCAGACUCCUACGGGAGGCAGCAGUGGGGAAUAUUGCACAAUGGGGGAAACCCUGAUGCAGCAAUGCCGCGUGAGUGAUGACGGCCUUCGGGUUGUAAAGCUCUGUCUUCGGGGACGAUAAUGACGGUACCCGAGGAGGAAGCCACGGCUAACUACGUGCCAGCAGCCGCAGUAA
Molecule: ribosomal RNA, 478 nt
Filed under: uncultured bacterium
Lineage: Bacteria
Description: partial 16S ribosomal RNA
Rfam family: Bacterial small subunit ribosomal RNA
Source: RNAcentral